ACUAUGUAAAGCCAAACCUGUUGCGAGGCGGGGACGGAAAGCCACGGAUCUCUCAGGGGUGUGAGCCACAGACCUUUUGUGAGAAAGCCGGGUUGCCAUG
RNAcentral lists this non-coding RNA (100 nucleotides) under Desulfosarcina cetonica. RNAcentral's name for it is "c-di-GMP-I". It matches the Rfam family "c-di-GMP-I riboswitch aptamer". Rfam says of the family: GEMM was predicted in a large-scale screen for bacterial structured RNA regulatory elements. Genes associated with GEMM are involved in a diverse array of functions, including chemotaxis regulation, signal transduction, secretion and chitin. The record is from RNAcentral. Lineage: Bacteria; Pseudomonadati; Thermodesulfobacteriota; Desulfobacteria; Desulfobacterales; Desulfosarcinaceae.